RNAcentral lists this ribosomal RNA (263 nucleotides) under uncultured Alphaproteobacteria bacterium. Its description in RNAcentral is "partial 16S ribosomal RNA". It matches the Rfam family "Bacterial small subunit ribosomal RNA", at positions 1 to 296 of the family's 1533-position model. Lineage: Bacteria; Pseudomonadati; Pseudomonadota; Alphaproteobacteria. The record is from RNAcentral.
UAGUGAGUUUGAUCCUGGCUCAGAACGAACGCUGGCGGCAUGCCUAACACAUGCAAGUCGAACGAGACCUUCGGGUCUAGUGGCGCACGGGUGCGUAACGCGUGGGAAUCUGCCCUUGGGUUCGGAAUAACUCCUCGAAAGGGGUGCUAAUACCGGAUGAUGUCUUCGGACCAAAGAUUUAUCGCCCAAAGAUGAGCCCGCGUAAGAUUAGCUAGUUGGUGGGGUAAUGGCCCACCAAGGCGACGAUGCAUAGCCGACCUGAG